CUUUAUAAGAAGAAGAAAGCCCUGUCUAAUUCAUCAUCAGCAAUACAUAGAACAGAACCAACACAAGCAAACCCAACAUCAACAAUGUCGACAAAGUCUAGCACUACCGUCCUUGCCUUUGCCUUUUGUUUCUUGUCCCUCCUCAGUUUCGCUUACUCCAACACCACCGACGACAAAAUCUACCUCACCGGCCUGGUCUACUGUGACAACUGCCAAUUGAAGUCUAUGACCGAGAUAAGUAAGAUGAUUCCAGGUACAUAACGUUAAUAAGUAGGUAACAAACUACCUAAAUGUCGAUUAUAAGAUUCGAAUAUGAGAUUUAUGCAUGCAUGCAUGCACAUUGCCCAUUGAUCAGGUGCAACGGUGCGAUUGGAGUGUAGGGAGGGGGGGAACAUAAAAUCCAGUCAAGAGGCCGAAACCAACCAGCUUGGACUGUACGUGUUUAAGUUGGACAAAUCUAAGGAGCCUGUGGAUGAUUGUCAAGUGACACUGCUACACAGCCCUGACCCUGAAUGCAAGAUUUCCCACGAAGUCGACCCUAACAACAAAUCGAAAACUGCACCGGUGGCCACCCGGAAGCUCAACCUAUUGGAAGGAGACAGCGUUGAUGUCAUCGCACCAGGCCACCGCGUUGCCUACCCUCUUGGUUUGGUCGUUGAGAAAGCUCUUCCCA
RNAcentral lists this long non-coding RNA (673 nucleotides) under Prunus dulcis (almond). Its description in RNAcentral is "sRNA ncRNA". Lineage: Eukaryota; Viridiplantae; Streptophyta; Magnoliopsida; Rosales; Rosaceae. The record is from RNAcentral.